This 253-nucleotide ribosomal RNA is filed under the name uncultured bacterium. Its description in RNAcentral is "partial 16S ribosomal RNA". It matches the Rfam family "Bacterial small subunit ribosomal RNA", at positions 524 to 776 of the family's 1533-position model. The record is from RNAcentral.
UACAGAGGUCUCAAGCGUUGUUCGGAUUCAUUGGGCGUAAAGGGUGCGUAGGCGGGUUAUUAAGUCAGAGGUGAAAUCCUGGAGCUCAACUCCAGAACUGCCUUUGAUACUGAUAGUCUUGAGUAUGGGAGAGGUGAGUGGAACUGCGAGUGUAGAGGUGAAAUUCGUAGAUAUUCGCAAGAACACCAGUGGCGAAGGCGGCUCACUGGCCCAUAACUGACGCUGAGGCACGAAAGCGUGGGGAGCAAACAGG